Molecule: ribosomal RNA, 468 nt
Filed under: uncultured bacterium
Lineage: Bacteria
Description: partial 16S ribosomal RNA
Rfam family: Bacterial small subunit ribosomal RNA
Source: RNAcentral
GACGAACGCUGGCGGCGUGCUUAACACAUGCAAGUCGAACGGAAAGGCCCUGCUUUUGUGGGGUGCUCGAUUGGCGAACGGGUGAGUAACACGUGAGUAACCUGCCCUUGACUUUGGGAUAACUUCAGGAAACUGGGGCUAAUACCGGAUAGGAGCUCCUGCUGCAUGGUGGGGGUUGGAAAGUUUCGGCGGUUGGGGAUGGACUCGCGGCUUAUCAGCUUGUUGGUGGGGUAGUGGCUUACCAAGGCUUUGACGGGUAGCCGGCCUGGGAGGGUGACCGGCCACAUUGGGACUGAGAUACGGCCCAGACUCCUACGGGAGGCAGCAGUGGGGAAUAUUGCACAAUGGGCGGAAGCCUGAUGCAGCAACGCCGCGUGCGGGAUGACGGCCUUCGGGUUGUAAACCGCUUUCGCCUGUGACGAAGCGUGAGUGACGGUAAUGGGUAAAGAAGCACCGGCUAACUACGUG